Triticum dicoccoides is the source of this 328-nucleotide long non-coding RNA. RefSeq lists it as uncharacterized. The transcript has 3 exons. NCBI's taxonomy places the organism in Eukaryota, Viridiplantae, Streptophyta, Magnoliopsida, Poales, Poaceae. The record is from RefSeq and is a predicted model, not a curated record.
GAGAUGAGGAAGGACAAAGCAUGAAUAGCUCCAGUGAGAGUGAAUGGAUAUGAACACCAGAACCCUCUCAGAGGAUGUUGGCUGAUCGGGAUACCCAAUUCUCAAACAAGCAUGCUGAGAUGCUCAAGAUAUGGAAGUUCGCCCACAAGCUCAACCACCAGGUGAACACAUGUCAAAGGUGCAUACGGACAUGAUGAAGCCGUGAAUUGUCGCACAGGUCACUGACCUUCUUGGGUUCGAAAAACUACCUAACUGCUAUUAUCCUGAAUUUAGUUUUAUCUGAACUAAGAGGACUACCUGUGCUUCUCUAACAAAGAAUUACUCAUUU